This 369-nucleotide ribosomal RNA is filed under the name Triticum aestivum (bread wheat). RNAcentral's name for it is "partial small subunit ribosomal RNA". The record is from RNAcentral. Lineage: Eukaryota; Viridiplantae; Streptophyta; Magnoliopsida; Poales; Poaceae.
AUGGUCUGGGAAACCAUGGUAGGUAGGCCUCCUGCCGGCGACCCUGCCCCUCUUCGCCGCCAGCUCUCCAGAUCCACACAAGGGUCAUAUCACUCCAGCUCGAAUGUCAACAAGACUCCAUGCUCUUCUACAUGCUUACCGGCAAACAGGAGGCACGCAUCUCUGCCGCCGCAGCUCUUAUCAACGCCCGCUUUUGGAGGAUCAUACAUUAUACUAGCUUGUUUAUUCAAGGCUAUUCUUGAUUUCUCGAGUCGAGGCAUCUUUUUCUGCUCCAUGCCCCCCUAUAAAUUUGAGCCACAUUGUUGGGUCAGCUAUCUCCAAGGUUCUAUCUGGAAGAGCAUCCUCAGCAAACUUAUGCAGAUCCAAUGA